This is a non-coding RNA of Cricetulus griseus (Chinese hamster), 128 nucleotides long. Ensembl annotates it as small Cajal body-specific RNA 4. NCBI's taxonomy places the organism in Eukaryota, Metazoa, Chordata, Mammalia, Rodentia, Cricetidae. The record is from Ensembl.
CUUGGAGUACCAAGAAGUCUUAGUCUGAUGAAGCAAGGCUUUGCUGAUACACUCCUCCUAGACAAAAGGGUGGAGAGAGCAGCCCUUAUCAGAGAAAACCACAGGGCUGACUGUAAUGCCCAACAUUU